GACGAACGCUGGCGGCGUGCUUAACACAUGCAAGUCGAACGGAAAGGCCCUGCUUUUGUGGGGUGCUCGAGUGGCGAACGGGUGAGUAACACGUGAGUAACCUGCCCUUGACUUUGGGAUAACUUCAGGAAACUGGGGCUAAUACCGGAUAGGAGCUCCUGCUGCAUGGUGGGGGUUGGAAAGUUUCGGCGGUUGGGGAUGGACUCGCGGCUUAUCAGCUUGUUGGUGGGGUAGUGGCUUACCAAGGCUUUGACGGGUAGCCGGCCUGAGAGGGUGACUGGCCACAUUGGGACUGAGAUACGGCCUAGACUCCUACGGGAGGCAGCAGUGGGGAAUAUUGCACAAUGGGCGGAAGCCUGAUGCAGCAACGCCGCGUGCGGGAUGACGGCCUUCGGGUUGUAAACCGCUUUCGCCUGUGACGAAGCGUGAGUGACGGUAAUGGGUAAAGAAGCACCGGCUAACUACGUG
This 468-nucleotide ribosomal RNA is filed under the name uncultured bacterium. RNAcentral describes it as "partial 16S ribosomal RNA". It matches the Rfam family "Bacterial small subunit ribosomal RNA", at positions 28 to 507 of the family's 1533-position model. The record is from RNAcentral.